UGGGGAAUUUGGACAAUGGCGAAAGCCUGAUCCAGCAAUGCCGCGUGUGUGAAGAAGGCCUUCGGGUUGUAAAGCACUUUUGUCCGGAAAGAAAUCCUUGGCUCUAAUACAGUCGGGGGAUGACGGUACCGGAAGAAUAAGCACCGGCUAACUACGUGCCAGCAGCCGCGGUAAUACGUAGGGUGCAAGCGUUAAUCGGAAUUACUGGGCGUAAAGCGUGCGCAGGCGGUUUGCUAAGACCGAUGUGAAAUCUCGGGCUCAACCUGGGAACUGCAUUGGUGACUGGCAGGCUAGAGUAUGGCAGAGGGGGGUAGAAUUCCACGUGUAGCAGUGAAAUGCGUAGAGAUGUGGAGGAAUACCGAUGGCGAAGGCAGCCCCCUGGGCCAAUACUGACGCUCAUGCACGAAAAGCGUGGGGAGCAAACAGGAUUAGAUACCCUGGUAGUCCACGCCCUAAAACGAUGUCAACUAGUUGUUGGGGAUUCAUUUCCUUAGUAACGUAGCUAACGCGUGAAGUUGACCGCCUGGGGAGUACGGUCGCAAGAUUAAAAACUCAAAGGAAUUG
Molecule: ribosomal RNA, 564 nt
Filed under: uncultured bacterium
Lineage: Bacteria
Description: partial 16S ribosomal RNA
Rfam family: Bacterial small subunit ribosomal RNA
Source: RNAcentral